Molecule: ribosomal RNA, 3662 nt
Filed under: Triticum aestivum (bread wheat)
Lineage: Eukaryota; Viridiplantae; Streptophyta; Magnoliopsida; Poales; Poaceae
Description: partial small subunit ribosomal RNA
Source: RNAcentral
UUUGUUUCGUACGUUUGUGAUGCGUCGUUUUACGGUAGUACGAGUUGUGGUAACAACAUGGAGACGGAUGACGACCACGGCACGGAAGAAGAGAACCUUCUUCGUGUACGCCACGUGGUACCUCCCUAGAGAGACUCCAGAGUUGUGUACCGGGAGGAGGUGACCUUUCGAUGUGAACGCUCGGGUGGUGACGUCUACUCGAGAACCGUUCUUUUGUGUUCCGGGACGUUGACCAGCCCGUAGUACACGUGCCGAUAGGCGGUACCGGCGGCGUACGGGACCCACCAUUGGUUGUAUAGGGACGGCCCACGACCGUAGGCACCGGUCGAACCACUCGAGUUGAAGAGCCGAGAAGGUAAGGAGCGUAUAUAACUGGAAGUUUUGUUGUCAGAGGUGCCACAUGACGGGCGAUCAUAGUCGAGAGAUAGUAGUGAUAGAAUAGAACUGGAAUCGAAGUUGGUAGAGUUUCCCGUUUAAGGCAAACUCAAACCAUUGGACGUCUCAGAGUACGUCGAACCAGAGAGUAGAUUGUUUGAGUGUCCUGUAUAGGGACGCAGAGAACCAUUGGAUUGUUACAAUUUAAUAGAACAGUAAGUGGUCUUGUACCAUAGUCCAGGGUAAGGAUUCCUCUAACCUUUGGAACAGUUGGAUGUUCCGGAUGUCGAUUCGUUGUUGGGGAAUUGGCCGUACUAUGGUUUUUGGGAACCUUUAGACUGGGUUGAUUUACUAAACAUGGACAUACCAUUAGUUGAAAGUCCCGGAUAUGGGGUUCUCGAUCCGUCUGACCAGGUAAACGUUUCAGAAGUCGAAGUCAGUUUACUAUAAAGUCCAGGUUAAGGUUAGAGGUAUUGGUUAGAGUGAUUCUACUUGUGUGAAAAAGAGAAACUUUUAGUUUAGUGUCCAAGUUAUGGGGGUCUUUAUCCGUUGGAGUGAUACGAGUUACUUGAAAGAGAGAUAUGUUUAGUUUAGUGUCCGGGUUAUGGAAAACUUAACCCGAUAAACGACUUGGAGGUUUUAAAACCCAACAGGUUGUUGGUUUAUAGACCGUGAUAAGGACUAUCGUAUCCUUUAUUAUGGUUCGAUCAUCAUGAUAGGGAUCUAGUUUUAGUCUAUUGGCCGAGGUAGGGAUUUCCCUAACCGUUAGACGACUUGGAGUUUAUAAAUUUGAACAUGGUCUUGGUUUAAAGCCCUAGUUAUGGAUUUUGAAAACCCUUCGACGUUUCGUAGGUUCUUGACAUGUAGUUGGUAUUGUUUAAUAGUCCAAGAGAAGGAGUUCUUAAGCCUCUGGAGUAUUUGGAACAACGUGAACCCGACCGAUUGUUGAGUGAAAGUCCUGGAAAUGGAUGUUUAUAUACAAGUCCCCCGUCCGAAGUUAUAGAUAUAGAGAAAAGAUUAUACAAGUUACCGGGGUAAGGUUCCUCAAAUUUCUGUACAUGCUCAAACCAACUUUAAUCGGAAGUCUCCUUGGUUGAGUGUCCUCUAUAUAGAGUCGUGAAACCACACAUAGGUGUUGAGUUUUCCUACUCGAAACGUAGUUUAUCUAAGAUACCCGUCCAGGGUGGUUUAGAUCUACGUACAUGGUUUGAUUGCUAUGAUGCAGAUCGUGUUUUAUACUAGUGCCCAAGGUAUGGAGGUUAGGAAAGAUUUAACAACUUGGAUCUUCUUGAUUCAGAGUUAAGAUUAGCGGAGUCGCCACUCUAAGGUGUUCUUUAGACAUCAAAACGUUUAAAUAUGUCUGACUUGAAUAGUAGAUUGGUUAAUAGACCUAGGUAUGGAUGUGUGUAUCUUUUCGAUGCGUUAGAUCGUAUGGAACUAUAUAGACCUUUGUCUGACUCGCCUAGUCAUGGACUCCUGGAUCCUCCGACGUACUUUGAUGAAAGGAACUUCUAGUUGUUGUUGUCGAAGUUACCCUCAAACGGACUACACUAACCUUUAAAUCGUUCAGACGUCUAGUACAAUCUACAUUCGUUGUUAUUGGAGUCACCGCGUAACGGCGUCGUUGAACCCUUCAACCCCUACGAUCUUAAAACCUUAAAUAGGGUAUUAGUCAAGUCGUCGUAGUAAAACAGGAGAAAACGUUCGUACCACUCGGAAAGUUGUGAGCUACACAGGAUGUUGCUGAACCUUCCUGGUUAGGGUUGUUGUGCCGAUGAGGUUUUACAAAGUCGUUCAACCAAAGAAGUGUUAUUGCCAAACACACCAUUGGAUAGACCGGACGGUUGUACAAUGAGUUGAGGUCAUCGACCAGUGGUAUUUGCUUUCUAUUAACCAAACGAAAACGGUUAACAAGAACACCACGAAAAACCUUAACAACGACGUCAACAACAGUAUUAUUGCGAAUCAACAUUGUUCUCUUUUGGUGUUCUUUCACAAUGACGACUUCCUUCCCUGGAUAAGAGACAAACCUUAAAACUACCUUCUAAUCGUAAACUACUGUAACAUUCCCGUCGUCUUCUGAAGCUGCUAUUCAUGUAGUAACCUUGUCCCCCUAUGCCGUUUCAGAUGUUCCGUGUUGAGGUUCUGCCCGUCGACCAACGACAAUUCUUCGAAGUAGUCUGGCUUCUUCUCAACCUACUACUUUCUUCUAAGGCAUCACUUUACCUUUAGAAUUGCGUCUAGGCUGUUGCUUCGUAACAGUUUUACAUACCUAAAACGAGGGUAGGUCGUAUAUUUAAAGAGUAGAUGCUGAUGUAAGUCGUCCCUUCGGAGGUACCUUAUAACCUUUUACUCCUCGAUAGUUUCGUUAAUCUAACCGUCUUCUCUUAACGGGACUGUUGACUACACCGAGUUCGUUAUAGAAUAAACGUGGUGCUUACGUCAGGUGGAUAUUAGGUAGCUCUAUAGUGUUCGUUGUUGUAGAAUGAACUAUGUAGGAAGUUCCGGAAACAGAGCCUAAAGCCGUGCUGUUCCUAAGAAUUCGGGCUAAGUAGUUUGACCUCACGUGAUCGUCCUUGCAUACCGAUGUAUCGAGGACUUGACAGUAUGUGUAGACAACGCUAUCUCUUUACACUACAAAUAUCAAAACCCCACCAACACAAUCUCGAUCACUACCCGUUCGUAGGUUCCCUAAAUAAUCUACCAUCAGAAAGAUUGCCGCUUGUUAGUUACUACCACUUUCUAUAAGACCUGGUUGCCGGUUGUUGUGGUUAUAGUUGACUUCUCUUAUCGAAUCGAGACGAGUAGUUCGACCGGAAUAGAACAAACCUUAGAAGAGGGGUUAGUUCCGGUUGGUACGCCCUCCGUAUGGUUUGUGAGUAGGUCGGUAGAAGACCAAGUUGAUGGUACGGAAAGUCACGUGAAUGUAAUGUCGUUCCCUACGUACAACUGUAUUCCAGACCUAGGAUCACUCUUUGGUCCCAGAUGGCUUCCUCUCCGGCUAAGUCUAAAGAUGAAAAAAAAAAUGAAUGCAGUGAGUAUAUAUAUGGUGGAUAUAUAUGGGGAACAUACGGUACGGUACGGUGUGUCCUACUCAACUGCUGAGUAACGUUCAAAUACAUAAACAUCUAAGAGGACUACGUCGUUUUCUAGUGGCAACACACGGGCACCAAAAAGGGCGUUCCCAAAAGGUGCAUUUUUACACACAGGUCAGGGUACAAGAACUAUAAAGAGACAAAUAAACGAACGACUAAAGAUUGUUACGUAUUUAUAUUAAACCAAACGCC